GCUCAGGAUGAACGCUGGCGGCGUGCCUAACACAUGCAAGUCGAACGGAGAAUUUUAUUUCGGUAGAAUUCUUAGUGGCGAACGGGUGAGUAACGCGUAGGCAACCUGCCCUUUAGACGGGGACAACAUUCCGAAAGGAGUGCUAAUACCGGAUGUGAUCAUCGUGCCGCAUGGCAGGAUGAAGAAAGAUGGCCUCUACAAGUAAGCUAUCGCUAAAGGAUGGGCCUGCGUCUGAUUAGCUAGUUGGUAGUGUAACGGACUACCAAGGCGAUGAUCAGUAGCCGGUCUGAGAGGAUGAACGGCCACAUUGGGACUGAGACACGGCCCAAACUCCUACGGGAGGCAGCAGUA
RNAcentral lists this ribosomal RNA (351 nucleotides) under uncultured bacterium. RNAcentral's name for it is "bacterial SSU rRNA". It matches the Rfam family "Bacterial small subunit ribosomal RNA", at positions 22 to 356 of the family's 1533-position model. The record is from RNAcentral.